Long non-coding RNA from Homo sapiens (human), 3095 nucleotides. Ensembl annotates it as KTN1 antisense RNA 1. Its record names the gene KTN1-AS1. NCBI's taxonomy places the organism in Eukaryota, Metazoa, Chordata, Mammalia, Primates, Hominidae. The record is from Ensembl.
UCUGCCUCCGCGCGCCUGCCCACGCGCUCCGGUACUCGCUGCUCGCGGCUGGCCGGCUCGGGAUUCCGGGCUUUCUUCCCGAGACCGCGUCCCCCAGCUGGGCCGAAGGUGGACGCUCAGGGGCUGGAGGCUCAGCGGAAUCCCCUGCGUUCAGUAGCCCCGCUCUCCCCUGUCCCGAAGGAUUACUCUGCCCCUCAGCGGUUCCAGUGCCCUCAAAGCAAUCUGUCUCUGAAGUACUGGCUAUCUUCUGAGCGUGUGCCAGAAGAUCCAGCUUUGUUGAAAAGCGAAGCCGUUAGUCCCUUAAUACAAAGGAGACAAAUUGAUUUAUGCCUGGGGCACCAUCACCAAAAGAAGAGGAAAUGGAUGCAAGCCUUCCCAGAACAACAGGCGUGCCCUGAAUUCUUUCUUGGGCGAGAUCCACGAACCGUCUCUUGGGGUCUGGAUUGGGACCCCUUUCCGGUAACAAGAAGAAGUGAAAUGUGCACUUAUGAGCCUGGAUCUUCAGACACAGAGCUGUGCCUCCUUCACACUCUCUUUUCCCUUCCCUCCAUCUAGAAUCCAUAUACUUUUAUCAUAUUAUGCAGAUAAUGACAAUGCAGAGCUACGGUUUAGAAAUAACCUGGGUUGUUGAAUAACAAGAGAACAGAGCUGCCCUGCUGGCCAGGAUUAUUUAUAUCUUAGCUGUUGUGAAAGGGGUGGGGAGAGAGAGAGAGAGACAGACAGAGACAGAGAGCAUCUUUUUCCUUUAAACCACUGCAUUUUGGAUUUUGGGACUCUGUUAUACUAGCUAGGCAUUACCCUAACUAAUGCAUAUGAAAAUGGAUGUAGGUACUGCAAUGGUGAUGGAGGGGUGCGGUGGGUGGAAGUAAAAAUGCUUAAAGAGGAGUUUUAGAGAAACUUGCUUAUGUGAUAUAUAAUGCAAUAGUCUUAUUUUUUCCUGAGUAACCUCUAGUCAUAAGUCUUCAUUACUUCUCAUUGCAGAUUCUGGCUUUUAUUUUUCCCAAAAAUGUCAAUAGGCUGAGCUCAAUCUUAUAUAAGCAUACGGUAAUUUAACAAGGUCUACUUGCAUGUGGGUUACAGAAUUAUUACUCCAUUUUUAGACAGGAAACUGAAGUUAUAUAGCAAAUAACUGAUGAAAACAGUAUUUCAAUCCUGACUUAUCAGACUCCAAAGCCAUUUCCCACCUAAAUAGUUAUUAGGUUUAUUUUUCCCUUGAAACAUGUGAGUAUAGUAGAGAUUUUAUUCUCUGUGUUGUCAUCUUUAGAGUAGGGAAACCCCACUCCAUCCAAUGGCAGGUGAUGGUCCACAGGGAUGCAGUACAGAAUGUGGCCAAGACUCUUAAGACUAAUGUUCUCUUUGGAGAAAGACAAGUGAGAAACUUCAGCCAAGUCAUCCUCUUGCCAAAAUUACUCCUUGGAUGAAAUUAUGACUCAUUUGGAAUCUUUAUUAAUUAAUUUGAUGAGGGAACAGCCGGGCUGAUAACCAUCUAUGCAGAAUGAUAAAAGUGGCUCAUACUUCAUCCAGAAAUCAAAGAAGGAAUGAAAACAGGUUUAAAAUUGGCAAAACACUGCAGCAUUCUCGGACUGGCCCCAGGGGCUUCAUUUCUGGCCAAAAUUGUAACACAAUUAACAGUAUUUGCAUAUCCCUUUGAAAAAUAUAUAUGCAAGCUCGGUGCAAUGGCUCACACCUGUAAUCCCAGCAGUUUGGGAGGCCGAGGUGGGCAGAUCACCUGAGGUCAGGAGUUUGAGACCAGCCUGGCCAACAUGGUGAAACCCCAUCUCUACUAAAAAUACAAAAAUUAGCUGGGUAUGGUGGCGCAUGCCUGUAAUCCCAGCUACACAGGAGGCUGAGACAGGAGAAUCACUGACGGAGGUUGCAGUGAGCCGAGAUCCUGCAACUGCACUGCAGCCUGGAUAACAGAGCGAGACUCAGUCUAAACAAACAAACAAACAAAAAAAUAUAUAUAUAUAUACACUCACACACAAACACAAAUGAUUCUAUUUAAAAAAUAUCAUUUUAUAACUGUAUUACUUGGCUGAGAUUUUAGUACUUCAUAAUUUUCUGCAACUGAGCAGAAAGGGGAAAAAUCUAAUGCUUGGCACUACAUUUUGCUUUCCAGUUUCAAAUAACAGUUUUAAAUCUCAGAGCUAAACAGCAACAGAUUAAAAAAGAAAUUUAUAUAUAUAAUUAACUGUAUAACUGAUUACACUUACCUGAGUAUACACUUGAUUAGUCUAGUAUUCUUCAAGUAUAAUUUUCCAAAUAAUAAUACAUUUGGCGAAUUGAAAAAGAAAUAAAUAAUGAUACGAAAUUUAUUGACAGCUAAAUUAAAAUACGAUUUUGCAAACAGCUUCAUAUAAUUCAAAUAUAUUCCCAGAAGUAAUUUUUUUGUAUAUUUCAUGCAAAAUAUUUCAAGUAAUAAUGCUGCCAGAAUUAUUUCUCAUAGGCAAAUACUGAAGUUAGUAUUGACAAAAACUUGAAGCUGGGUGAAGCCUUGCACAGUAUCUAGUCCAUCUUAUCAUAUUAAUGACAAAGAAACUGAAACCCAGGAAAAAUUAUUAAUAAGUCUGUUAAAGCAAACUAAAUAUGGCCUGAGAAGAACUCCGUACUUUUAUAUUUGAGUCCUUGUAGACAAAGAGUAACCUAGCUUAAUAGGCAGACGAGAUUGAAAACCCAAUUUAGCAGUAUAUGCUUGUAAAGAUACCUGAGUCUUGGCCAAUCCCAGCAGCCGUACUUCAACCACUCAUACACUGCUGAGUGUUCAAACUGUGUUCAAAUAAGGCAAACGCCAACCUGUAAACAAUCCAGCUAUUUCUGUACCUCAUUUCCGAUUUUUGUCAGUUUCCUUUUUUUUUAUCUAUAAAUUUGUUCCGACCACGAGGCAUCCCUGGUGUCUCUCUAAAUCUGCUGUGAUUCUGGGGGCUGCCCGAUUCGCAAAUUGUUUGUUGCUCAAUCAAACUCCUUUAAAUUUAAUUCAACUGAAGUUUCUUUUAACAAGUACAAGAUCAUCAUUAUUUUUUGCCAACCCUUAUAAUUGAUCCCUCUAUCUUUAGUCCUUUUAUUUAUUUUCUUACUCAAUUACUGAAAUAAAGAGG